GACGAACGCUGGCGGCGUGCCUAAUACAUGCAAGUCGAACGAGAGCGACCGGUGCUUGCACUGGUCAAUCUAGUGGCGAACGGGUGAGUAACACGUGGGUAACCUGCCCAUCAGAGGGGGAUAACAUCCGGAAACGGAUGCUAAAACCGCAUAGGUCUUCGAACCGCAUGGUUUGAAGAGGAAAAGAGGCGCAAGCCUCUGCUGAUGGAUGGACCCGCGGUGCAUUAGCUAGUUGGUGAGGUAACGGCUCACCAAGGCCGUGAUGCAUAGCCGACCUGUGAGGGUGAUCGGCCACAUUGGGACUGAGACACGGCCCAAACUCCUACGGGAGGCAGCAGUAGGGAAUCUUCCGCAAUGGACGCAAGUCUGACGGAGCAACGCCGCGUGAGUGAAGAAGGUGUUCGGAUCGUAAAACUCUGUUGUUAGAGAAGAACAAGUGCUAGAGUAACUGUUAGCGCCUUGACGGUAUCUAACCAGAAAGCCACGGCUAACUACGUG
This 498-nucleotide ribosomal RNA is filed under the name uncultured bacterium. RNAcentral describes it as "partial 16S ribosomal RNA". It matches the Rfam family "Bacterial small subunit ribosomal RNA", at positions 28 to 507 of the family's 1533-position model. The record is from RNAcentral.